RNAcentral lists this ribosomal RNA (484 nucleotides) under uncultured bacterium. Its description in RNAcentral is "partial 16S ribosomal RNA". It matches the Rfam family "Bacterial small subunit ribosomal RNA", at positions 30 to 507 of the family's 1533-position model. The record is from RNAcentral.
AUUGAACGCUGGCGGCAGGCCUAACACAUGCAAGUCGAGCGGAUGAAGGGAGCUUGCUCCUGGAUUCAGCGGCGGACGGGUGAGUAAUGCCUAGGAAUCUGCCUGGUAGUGGGGGAUAACGUCCGGAAACGGGCGCUAAUACCGCAUACGUCCUGAGGGAGCAAGUGGGGGAUCUUCGGACCUCACGCUAUCAGAUGAGCCUAGGUCGGACUAGCUAGUUGGUGGGGUAAAGGCCUACCAAGGCGACGAUCCGUAACUGGUCUGAGAGGAUGAUCAGUCACACUGGAACUGAGACACGGUCCAGACUCCUACGGGAGGCAGCAGUGGGGAAUAUUGGACAAUGGGCGAAAGCCUGAUCCAGCCAUGCCGCGUGUGUGAAGAAGGUCUUCGGAUUGUAAAGCACUUUAAGUUGGGAGGAAGGGCAGUAAGUUAAUACCUUGCUGUUUUGACGUUACCAACAGAAUAAGCACCGGCUAACUUCGUG